GUUCGAACUGAGCUCUGUACGGCAGGAGCGGGGGACCCACAGGUAAGUCGCCGGAUCGGAGUUCGCGCUUUUCACGGCGCGGACGUCCAGGACCGGCUCGGGGUGAAGCCGCACAUGCGGCCGGGCAACUCCAGCCCGAACCCGACAGCUCACCUCGCAGGCGUCGGAGAGGAAAAUC
The sequence is a regulatory RNA element, 178 nucleotides long. It matches the Rfam family "c-di-AMP riboswitch aptamer (ydaO/yuaA leader)". Rfam says of the family: This family represents a conserved RNA structure found upstream of the ydaO and yuaA genes in Bacillus subtilis and related genes in other bacteria. The ydaO/yuaA element is thought to act as a genetic "off" switch for the ydaO and yuaA genes in its native state. The record is from Rfam.